Molecule: long non-coding RNA, 199 nt
Organism: Oxyura jamaicensis (ruddy duck)
Lineage: Eukaryota; Metazoa; Chordata; Aves; Anseriformes; Anatidae
Exons: 3
Source: RefSeq, a predicted model, not a curated record
UGCCACGGGCAGGGACACCUCCCCCUACAGCAGGCUGCCCAAAGCCCCAUCCAGCCUGGCCUUGAACAUCUCCAGAGAUAGGGCAUCCACAGCUUCUCUGGGCAGCCUGGACCAGUACCUCACCAUCAUCAUAGCGAAGAAUUUCCUGCUAAUAUCUGAUCUAAAUCUACCUUUUUUUUUUUUAAAGCAAUUGUCUCAG